CCUACGGCGGCUGCAGUGGGGAAUAUUGGACAAUGGGCGAAAGCCUGAUCCAGCCAUGCCGCGUGUGUGAAGAAGGCCUUCGGGUUGUAAAGCACUUUCAGUGGGGAAGAAAGCCUUGGGGCUAAUACCCUCGAGGAAGGACAUCACCCACAGAAGAAGCACCGGCUAACUCCGUGCCAGCAGCCGCGGUAAUACGGAGGGUGCGAGCGUUAAUCGGAAUUACUGGGCGUAAAGCGCGCGUAGGCGGUCUGAUAAGCCGGUUGUGAAAGCCCCGGGCUCAACCUGGGAACGGCAUCCGGAACUGUCAGGCUAGAGUGCAGGAGAGGAAGGUAGAAUUCCCGGUGUAGCGGUGAAAUGCGUAGAGAUCGGGAGGAAUACCAGUGGCGAAGGCGGCCUUCUGGACUGACACUGACGCUGAGGUGCGAAAGCGUGGGUAGCAAACAGGAUUAGAUACCCCAGUAGUC
RNAcentral lists this ribosomal RNA (464 nucleotides) under Vreelandella stevensii. Its description in RNAcentral is "partial 16S ribosomal RNA". It matches the Rfam family "Bacterial small subunit ribosomal RNA", at positions 338 to 795 of the family's 1533-position model. Lineage: Bacteria; Pseudomonadati; Pseudomonadota; Gammaproteobacteria; Oceanospirillales; Halomonadaceae. The record is from RNAcentral.